Molecule: small nuclear RNA, 106 nt
Organism: Otolemur garnettii (small-eared galago)
Lineage: Eukaryota; Metazoa; Chordata; Mammalia; Primates; Galagidae
Source: Ensembl
GGGCUCGCUUCCGCAGCACAUAUACUAAAAUUGGAACAAUACAGAGAAGAUUAGCAUGGCCCGUGCUGAAGGAUGACAUGCAAAUUUGUCAGCGUUCCAUAUUUUU